GACGUUGGGAAAGCGAGCGGCGGAUGGGUGAGUAACACGUGGGGAACCUGCCCCUAAGUCUGGGAUACCAUUUGGAAACAGGUGCUAAUACCGGAUAAUAAAGCAGAUCGCAUGAUCAGCUUUUGAAAGGCGGCGUAAGCUGUCGCUAAGGGAUGGCCCCGCGGUGCAUUAGCUAGUUGGUAAGGUAACGGCUUACCAAGGCGACGAUGCAUAGCCGAGUUGAGAGACUGAUCGGCCACAUUGGGACUGAGACACGGCCCAAACUCCUACGGGAGGCAGCAGUAGGGAAUCUUCCACAAUGGACGCAAGUCUGAUGGAGCAACGCCGCGUGAGUGAAGAAGGUUUUCGGAUCGUAAAGCUCUGUUGUUGGUGAAGAAGGAUAGAGGUAGUAACUGGCCUUUAUUUGACGGUAAUCAACCAGAAAGUCACGGCUAACUACGUGCCAGCAGCCGCGGUAAUACGUAGGUGGCAAGCGUUGUCCGGAUUUAUUGGGCGUAAAGCGAGCGCAGGCGGAAAAAUAAGUCUAAUGUGAAAGCCCUCGGCUUAACCGAGGAACUGCAUCGGAAACUGUUUUUCUUGAGUGCAGAAGAGGAGAGUGGAACUCCAUGUGUAGCGGUGGAAUGCGUAGAUAUAUGGAAGAACACCAGUGGCGAAGGCGGCUCUCUGGUCUGCAACUGACGCUGAGGCUCGAAAGCAUGGGUAGCGAACAGGAUUAGAUACCCUGGUAGUCCAUGCCGUAAACGAUGAGUGCUAAGUGUUGGGAGGUUUCCGCCUCUCAGUGCUGCAGCUAACGCAUUAAGCACUCCGCCUGGGGAGUACGACCGCAAGGUUGAAACUCAAAGGAAUUGACGGGGGCCCGCACAAGCGGUGGA
This 872-nucleotide ribosomal RNA is filed under the name uncultured bacterium. RNAcentral describes it as "bacterial SSU rRNA". It matches the Rfam family "Bacterial small subunit ribosomal RNA", at positions 79 to 936 of the family's 1533-position model. The record is from RNAcentral.